AUUGAACGCUGGCGGCAGGCCUAACACAUGCAAGUCGAGCGGCUGCAGGGUGCUUGCUUGCGGAUACAGCGGGGGACGGGUGAGUGAGGCAGAAGAAUAUCCCUGUCUGUGUGUGAUAACGUCCGGAAACGGGCGCUCAUACGCCAAAAGUGCUGAGGGACAACGGGUGGGAUCAUCGGACCUUACGACCUCAGGUGAGCCUAGGUCGGAUUGGCUAGUUGGUGGGUUAAAGGCCGACCAAGGCGACGAUCCGUAGCUGGUCUGAGAGGAUGAUCAGUCACACUGGAACUGAGACACGGUCCAGACUCCUACGGGAGGCAGCAGUGGGGAAUAUUGGACAAUGGGCGCAAGCCUGAUCCAGCCAUGCCGCGUGUGUGAAGAAGGUCUUCGGGUUGUAAAGCACUUUUAUUUGGAAGGAAGAGCAGUAAGUUAAUACCUUGCUGUUUUGACGGUACCCACAGAAUAAGCACCGGCUAACUUCGUG
RNAcentral lists this ribosomal RNA (484 nucleotides) under uncultured bacterium. RNAcentral's name for it is "partial 16S ribosomal RNA". It matches the Rfam family "Bacterial small subunit ribosomal RNA", at positions 30 to 507 of the family's 1533-position model. The record is from RNAcentral.